CCCUUAGAUGUCCUGGGCCGCACGCGCGCUACACUGAGUGUCUGAGAUACGAGUCUGCCUGGUCCGGCAAGGUCUAGGUAAUCGCUAAAAGACACAUCAUGCUUGGGAUAGAUUAUUGCAAAUAUUAAUCUUGAACGAGGAAUUCCUAGUAAACGCGAGUCAUCAGCUCGCAUUGAUUACGUCCCUGCCCUUUGUACACACCGCCCGUCGCACCUACCGAUUGAAUGUUUCGGUGAAGAUUCCGGAUAGGACUUUUUUGAUUUAUUUCAAUUUUGUCUUAAAAGCUAUCUAAACCUCAACAUUUAGAGGAAGGUGAAGUCGUAACA
Molecule: ribosomal RNA, 326 nt
Filed under: uncultured eukaryote
Lineage: Eukaryota
Description: partial 18S ribosomal RNA
Rfam family: Eukaryotic small subunit ribosomal RNA
Source: RNAcentral